RNAcentral lists this ribosomal RNA (433 nucleotides) under uncultured bacterium. RNAcentral's name for it is "partial 16S ribosomal RNA". It matches the Rfam family "Bacterial small subunit ribosomal RNA", at positions 29 to 507 of the family's 1533-position model. The record is from RNAcentral.
AACGAACGCUGGCGGCAUGCCUAACACAUGCAAGUCGAACGAUCCCUUCGGGGAUAGUGGCGCACGGGUGCGUAACGCGUGGGAACCUGCCCUUAGGUUCGUAAUAACUCAGAGAAAUUUGAGCUAAUACCGGAUAAUGUCUUCGGACCAAAGAUUUAUCGCCUUUGGAUGGGCCCGCGUUGGAUUAGCUAGUUGGUGGGGUAAAGGCCUACCAAGGCGACGAUCCAUAGCUGGUCUGAGAGGAUGAUCAGCCACACUGGGACUGAGACACGGCCCAGACUCCUACGGGAGGCAGCAGUGGGGAAUAUUGGACAAUGGGCGAAAGCCUGAUCCAGCAAUGCCGCGUGAGUGAUGAAGGCCUUAGGGUUGUAAAGCUCUUUUACCCGGGAUGAUAAUGACAGUACCGGGAGAAUAAGCCCCGGCUAACUCCGUG